GGCCAGACUCCUACGGGAGGCAGCAGUGAGGAAUAUUGGUCAAUGGGCUUACGCCUGAACCAGCCAAGUCGCGUGAGGGAAGACUGCCCUAUGGGUUGUAAACCUCUUUUGUCGGGGAGCAAAUUCCGCCACGUGUGGCGGAGUCGAGAGUACCCGAAGAAAAAGCAUCGGCUAACUCCGUGCCAGCAGCCGCGGUAAUACGGAGGAUGCGAGCGUUAUCCGGAUUUAUUGGGUUUAAAGGGUGCGUAGGCGGGCUGUUAAGUCAGCGGUCAAAUGUCGGGGCUCAACCCCGUACUGCCGUUGAAACUGCAUCCCUUGAGUGCGCGAGAAGUAUGCGGAAUGCGUGGUGUAGCGGUGAAAUGCAUAGAUAUCACGCAGAACUCCGAUUGCGAAGGCAGCAUACCGGCGCGCAACUGACGCUCAUGCACGAAAGCGUGGGUAUCGAACAGGAUUAGAUACCCCCGUACCA
This 469-nucleotide ribosomal RNA is filed under the name uncultured bacterium. Its description in RNAcentral is "bacterial SSU rRNA". It matches the Rfam family "Bacterial small subunit ribosomal RNA", at positions 329 to 797 of the family's 1533-position model. The record is from RNAcentral.